UCCCCUGUCCUGUUUCAACCUGUUUUGGUGGGGAUUUGCACUGAAAGCAUUUUUACCUCCUUUCUUUAAGCUGAGGUUGAAACGUUCCUACUUUCACUCACUGAUGCGAGUUCCCCCGUCAGUGUGAUUUAUGGAGUGAGCACAGCUUAUCCACAGAGGAUUGCAACAGCUCCACUAGAAUUUUUUUAAUGUUCAUUUGAACUCAAGUUAAUCAUCUUGAAAUCAUAAACUUAUUAUAAGCAAAUCGAUGAACAAAAUCUGUAGAAUUUACACUUGAGUAUUGUUUUUUUUUAAAGCAGUAGAAAGAGCCUGUUUCUAAAAUAUUUGUGGGUGUAACCUGUCUUAUCAAGCGACUAUCAGGACACAGCCUGAAGUGGACUCCCACAGAUACUUACUGAAGCAUCAAAAAUAGUAAAAAAAAAAAAGAAUUAAAUAGAAAAUUAAAAAAUAAAAGGCCUAUCAGAUAAUUUAUUCUAAUGCAAACUAAAAGCACCCAUUCACUUCAAUAUAUCAAAUAAUUCAAACACAGUUAACAGUGGAAAAACAGUAAAAUGUGAAAGUGAAAAUGAGUAAUACACAUAAUUAGUUUGUAGUACAGCAAUCAAUUAUUUAGAUAUUUAAACUUUUUUUCUUUCAAAUCUAAUCCGGUGUACACAUGACUGCUGAUGAGUACAAAUUUCUCUCUAACAGACUGAACUUCUGUUUUUAUAAUAAAUAAGAAAUCAAUAAUUCCUCAUUUAAGUUUCCUCUUUCUCUCUGCUCAUGAUUUCAAGGGAAAGACCCAACAUUUAACACCAAAGCAAGUUAAAAUUUCAAGACAUAGCAGUAUUCAUAUUUGCAAAACUCUUUCUAUUGUCAUCAGUUCCUCCUUAAAUUAAAUAACGCCGCUCUUGAGGCAGUUGGACAAAACAUGGCACUUGAACUGAGUUUACAUGAAGUUUAUUCUGAAUAAAAUCAGUCAAAUCCGAGAAAGGUUCCCAUAGUUCAGUGAACCUUGAGAACCUUAUAUUCAUACAUUCAUACUAUGAAUAUUUUCUAGGCCCUCAGAGUACACAGGAGUGGGCCCGUUUUCACUCUGUUAAAUGAGUUUUAUCCCAAAUUUCUAAUCCCUCAUAACGUUUAUAAGUACCAAUGAUAUUCACAUUAAAGUUCUGUUAAAAACUGUACCUGGAUCAGGUAGCACUACUCAUGUCUGUUAAACCAUUGGUGCUCGUGUCAGGGAACAAGGUAGGUCUGAAAAAUUAAUUAAGGCCUUUAUUUUACACAACUGAAGUACUUGUAAAUUACACCAUCACGUAGCAGCUUUUGUCUUCUUCAGGAUGUAACUUGAAGAAGCGAAAGCUGAUAAGCGUUGGUGAUAAGCUGCUACGUGUUUCAUAGCAAAUCCAGCACCUUGUACUACGAAAGAGUUUAUCAUACAAAGCUGGUUAUCACCUCAGACCUGCACGUUCACAUGAUCAUAUGACUCGUCCAGAGAAAGCAAUCCCUAUGAGUGUCACCUACUCCAGCCAGAGACAUUAUCACAUUAUGAUCAAAUGGUGAUCACAAAUCUCUAAAAAACAUUUUUUUUUAAAUAUAACACCAAAACGCAACAUUGUUGUUAAAAAGAAACAGUUAAUGCAGAAAACCAUUAUUCUGAUCUUUAGUGUACAGAGCAGUAAAAUAAAAAUUUUAAUUACACUUAAUUAUUUUCUGGCUGAGGCUGAGGGUUUUUUGCCCUGCUGUGGAGUCUUUACUAUUUAAGGGUUUGAGAGUAAAGAUUAAAUACAAAAUCAAUAUUCAAAUGUAGUUUACACAUUAGAUAUGAUGUCAGCAAUUAAAGUGGAGGUGUCCUGGUUAGGAUCAAAUGUUAACGAUUAAAGUAAAAUAAAAUUGUUGUAGAGUUUUGAUUGCCAACAGAUAAAAAAAACUAAAUGAAAUAAAGUUGCGUCAAAAGAUCUAUAUUUAUCAGGGAAACACAAAGACAUUAAAAUGCUCCUAUUCUCCUCGUAAUGAAAUCUUUUAGGAAUGGUGAUGCUGUUUUCUGAAGAUUGGUCAGUAGGAGUUAAUUUCAUACCCGUUGGUUUUCAUCUGAAACUUAACGUGCUCUGGAGCAGGUUACCAUGGCACGUUAAGACGUAAAUCACCUUCAUAGUACUGUACAAAAAUGAGAUUUUUUCCUUAGAUUGUGACACUUGGAGUGGCUGUGAAGUUGACUUAUUUUUAGUUUUAACAGAGUUUUUCAGACCUGAAAAUUUCAGAUGUAUAUCUCGUUUGAUUAUGAAGGUAUGAGGGCUCAAAAUAUUGGAAAAAUCAAAAAUUUGAAUACAGGUUCAGCAACUCUGAAACAUUCAAAGUGUGCCGGUAAAGGUUUGCUUUGGAUCAAUUAAAUAAACUCAGAUUGAAAUAAUUAGCUGAUUCUGAAGGAGUCAUGUGGAGGAUUACUCAGAUUUAUUUAUUUAUUAAUGCAUUGAUCCAAGAGUGUCCACAUAAACUUCUCUGUAGCUAAAUCUGUACCUGACUUCAGUUUUUCUCCCUGAAUGCAGAUGUGAAGCAUUACAGUUAAAAAGUGAAACACUUCCAGGAGAAAGUCAGUAAAGACUUUCUCUAAAGUUUGACUUCACUUCAAGACAAAUCUUGAAUCUUGAGUAAAGGGGGUUAGAAAACAAGUAGAUUCUCAAGCCUGCAGUAGAUUUAACAUACGAGUACAUACAUACUACAACAGGAAAGCUACUGGGGACCAGGAAAGUGUUUCAGUUAUUUCUUUUUUACACUUGUUGAGCUAUGUGACUAAACAGGAGCUCCCUCACUGUCAAUAUUUUGAUCUCCGCGAUCCAGAGAUCCAGAACUGCAAACUGUUCAAGUUUCCGUUCAUCACAGGAGACGGGUUUGGGUGUCGGGUUGAAACACAGAAGGCCUCCAGCGUUGUUCUUUUGUGUUUGCAGUAUCUGUGGGAAAAUGGGGCUAUUUCUCUAGCGGUCAGAGAGUUCAGAGGGCUGGCUGUUGUCGGAGUGCUGGUGGAGGUGGUGAGAGACUGGUGAAACAGGAGAUUUAGUGUCUUGCUGAACGCCGUGCAGUCAGCAGGUUGUUCAAGGCCAGUCACAUGACACAGAGAGAAAUGUGGCUGGGCCUGCUGAAGCAUUUCUGUUUUUUUAUUGUUUCUAUACUGACCAGAGCAGCUGUGUGAAAAUGCAUGCACAGACCCACAAACAGAGUCUGCUUCAGAAAAAUGUGCAGUUUCUGCUGAAAUUUUUAAUUUUAACUAAUGAUAUAGAUUUUUUUUUUCAACAGGAAGUUAUUGAUUUGACACGUAGUGGGAACGGUUGGCAUUUGAUUUCAUUCUUAAAGAUUUUUGCCAUUGUUAUCAGCUAAUCAGGUCGGAUUUUGAGAGUUAGAAAAAGUUGAGAAACUCAUGUUCCCUUUACCCUUGACACCUUCUGUUGAGGGAUCUGGUCCAUGCUUUGCAGCCAGUUAAAAUGACCCACUUUUUGAAGACAAGUUCCUGAAGAUGUUCAUCACUGUGACAGAUUCCAUCUGAGCUUGUUGGGCUUCAUACUCUCAAUUGACACUCAGCUCACACUGCCGUCUCUCUGUUAUCCACUGUGGUGUAGCCAACAUUGACAUUUUUCUAGUGUUUGUUUUUGUAAGUUUUGGCAUUUACUGCAGAUUGUAGCGGAGUGCACAACCUUACGUAAUUUAUGUUUAGCCUCAUCGUAUUUUUAAUAAUUACUCUGGUGGUGUUUCCCCUUGGUAGACUGCUUAGUGGGUCCGGGUGAUGCCCCCCCAGGUUAGUCAGGACUAGCUUCCCUGUCAUCAGACUUAGACAUUUGGGGUCAGUUGGUGUCUAUUCAGUAUGUUUUUAGAUGAUUGAACACUUGCUGGGAAGCUUUUUCUGCCCUUCAGUCAGCUCUAGCCUCUAUCUUUUGUUCUCCCGUCUCAUAUUUCCUACUGCCCCUCCCCCUUAAACCGUCACAGCAGAAACAAACAUGACCAUAAAUGACUGCAAAAUGGAGAGUAUAACCCUGUGAUAAAAUUUCACAAAGGCACAAAAAUUAGGCAAGCUAGAUAAAUAAAAAUAUGCAUAUUGAAUCUUUUUUAAAAAUAUAUUUAUCUGUUCCCUUGGCUAAACUGUGCAGCUGUACUGGAACAGGAAUGACUACUUUGGACCCCUCCUCCACCCUAGAAACAACUCCUUUUUAAGUCAAAGGUCAAAUCAGUAUGGAUCAAUACAGAUCCAUCAGUGAUGAAACAUAAAUGUCUCUUCCAAUGGGAGAUUUUGUCCCAGUAUUUUAAAUGGGAAACAUGGAAAAGGGGACCAAAGCCCAGAAAAAAUCUGUGAAACUCAGUGCCUUAAAGGGAUGACAGGUAAAAUAAAGCUUAAGACAGUGCUGUCCAACAGAUCGAGAAAUUAAGUUAAUGGUGUUAAUUCUUUCAUUGGAAAUCCAAAGAGUUGGAGAAACAGUGCUAAAGCUGGCUCUAGCUAUCCUC
Haplochromis burtoni (Burton's mouthbrooder) is the source of this 4467-nucleotide long non-coding RNA. RefSeq lists it as uncharacterized. The record is from RefSeq and is a predicted model, not a curated record. Lineage: Eukaryota; Metazoa; Chordata; Actinopteri; Cichliformes; Cichlidae. The transcript has 2 exons.